This 3508-nucleotide long non-coding RNA is filed under the name Elaeis guineensis (African oil palm). RNAcentral describes it as "long non-coding RNA (EGUI_LNC033851)". The record is from RNAcentral. Lineage: Eukaryota; Viridiplantae; Streptophyta; Magnoliopsida; Arecales; Arecaceae.
AUCUGAUUUAUGCGACAAUCAUAAAAAGGUCACAAUUUUGUAUGCCAAAAGAAGAGAGCUUUUCACUGUGAGAUACUAGAGAGAAAGAGGGUUGAAAAUUCUUCUUUGGGAUAUGAGGUUUGGAUGGGUUUUUUUCUUUCUUGGUGUGAACAAAAGAGGAGACCGAUCUCCUCUCGGGUGAGCGACCUAGAACUAUUCUAGGGUUCUUGGAUGAGAGAAAAACAAAAGAGAAGAGAGUCUUCAUCUAUUUUUCUCCAUCAUUCAGCAUCCUCCUCUAAUACAUCUUGAACAUUGAAAAGGUUCGAGAUGAUCGAAGAAGGAGAUCAAGUCAGAUCUACCAUCAGAAGCCGACUGCGCGAGCUAGCACUUCCAUGGAGGGCUGAUCGGUCCGAGGGCUUCGUGUGGACCAUUCGUAGAGGCCGGAUGCUUGUGCAAUUACGAGCGACCAAAGAAAACUUUCAGACCUAUAUUCUCAAUUAUGGAGUUCAACUACCCAUGCUUAGGUAUUGGGUUUGAAAUCCUAAAAAUGGUAGAUUAGAUCUAUUACUAAAUGCUAUUUUUGGUUCACAUGCUUGUCAUUUUAGAUUCAAAUUUUUAUGUAUAUAAAUUUAUAUCAUCGAUCUAUUUAUAGAAGUUUUAAGAUUAAAUUUUAUAUAUAUAUUUAUAGAUUAAAUAGUUUAAUCUAAUAUUUUUUUAUUAAAAAUUUUUUGAAAUGCAUGUAUGAAACCCCUACGCAUCUCAAUAGUGGUAUUAGAGCCAUGAUUUGAUAUGACAUGAUAUUAUAUAUAUUUAGAUCUAUAAUUUAAUUUAGAUUAGAUCUAAUAUAUAAUAUUUAGAUCUAAAAUUAGUUAUAUAUCUGAUCGCACAAACUGAUAUAAAGUUGUCCUGCUGUAAGGUUUAUCCCUUACAGUGCAAAGGUUGUCUUACUUUGUACUGAUCUUUAUAAAAUCUGAUUUUAAUUUGAAGUAUGUAAAAUUUAUUUAUGAUGAUUAUUAUAUGAUUUUAAUAUGAUCAAAAUAUAAUAAUUAGAACUAAAAUAAUUUAGAUUAGAUCUAAAUUAUUUAGAUUAGAUGAUCUGAGUAGCAAAGUAAUCAGACCGAGUUUGUCACCAGGCCAUCCGAUCAUAGGAGGUAAUAGAGAUUAGAUCUCUCUUUUUCUCAUUCAAUUAGGUCUUNNNNNNNNNNNNNNNNNNNNCUCACUGAGCAUCGUUGAAUUUAUAACUAAAUUUGUAUUCUUUGCUGCUCUCAAAAAUACCACAUGGUGAUACGAUCAUUUAGCUACCUCUAAUAAGUACCUUUGAUCACAGCAUGUGUGUUGGAUGUGGAAAUAUUAGGUGCUAGAUCCAUAAUCAUAUAUAAGAUCCAUUCAUGCUCUAGAACUAUUUACAACUUUUGAUACCUAUUAAAAAAUAUGUUCCAAAGUCAAUCGUCAGCCUGUUGAUGAUUAUACUAUUUGAUGUAAUUAUAUAUGAAUUAAAUUAAUAAAAUAUUUAUUUGAUAAUUUUUAUCAUAAGCUUGUAUAUCUUCUAUAUCGAACUUUCAUGUUAUGAUAAAAAUUUUUAGGACUAUUUUAAAUCGAUAAAAGAGGAUUUAUCAUUUAGUCAUUGAAUGAGUUUACGAUCAAAUGAUAUGCUAUUACUACGACGAUAGACAUAUCAAGUGUAGGUUAUUGUGUGCCAUAUAGGUGGAUUGUCUUCUCAACUAAGGAGCAUGGAGAUGCUAGUAUGGCAUGCAGAUGAAAUGUAAGAGUAUAUUUCACUAAAUAUGACCAACUCAAGAGUACUCUACUGUCAAGAGUCACUUUGAAGGGAUAUGGGUAUAAGUGUCUCUCCGACUUGAGAUCACCAUGGCGACUUGCAAGCAACUCACUAUGCUUUGAUGUCGGACUAUUUAAAUUUUUAAUUCAGGAUUGAAAGGUUUCUAGACACAGUCAAGUACUUGUGAAGUCGGUGCAUGAGUCAAAAUGAAAUUGACCACUCCAAGAGAUUGGAGAGAAUGCUUUGUGUUUCAAUUUAGUAAGACCUUGGCUAGGGCAAUCCUUGUGAGGAGUCAUAGGAUUUAUCAGGUUAAGACAUAUAAUGGAUGUACCAUUAAGAGUUGACAGUUUAAACUCUAAGUCAUCCUAGCAUCAAAGGUCAAAGGAAUGAAUUAUAUGGUAACUAUAUCCAAAUAGGUUCUUGAGUGUUGCUUGGCAUACAUUCGGCCUAUCCGAACGUCAGAUACCAUUGCUAAAUAAUUACUCUGAUUGGUACAGAAAUCAAGUUCUAUACUAUCGGCUUAGGUUCAAACCUAUGGGGUCACAUACAUUAGAAGUUUUUCUCCGAUCACAUGGCUAAUUUGAAGAGUCUCAGUGGAUAGGGACUCUAUUGAAGAGUCCCACUGGAUGGAGACUCUAGAGAAGAGUCUCACUAGACUUGGACUCUAUCAUUAAUAGAGGAUUAAUUAGUUAGUAUAUCAUUAAUUAGCUUAAUUUAAUUGAUCAUUAAAAUCUGGAUCAAGUAUGAUUGAAUUGAAUUCAAUCAGGUCAGGUUUGAUUAGGUUAUGAGAUAACCUAAUCGGUAAGGGAGAAAUGAUCCCGAUUUGAUCGGAUCUAUGGCUUAAUUAAUUUUUUAAUUUGAUUAAAUUUAAUUAAGAUUAUAAGAGCUUAAUUAUAUUAGGUUCACUAUAUUUUAUUUAAGUCUAAUUAGAUUGGGUUUGAAAGAAAUUUAAUUGGUUAAAUCCUAAAGUCCCAAAUGAAUAGGACUCUAUCCCUUGCACCACCUAAAUUAUCUCACACCUUUUCUCACCGCAUAAAAUUAGUUUGUAUGUGAAAAAAUUAUAAAAUAACUCUUUUUUUGUCAUCCAUUAAGGAUAAGAAUUUAUUGAUUUUGAUUUAAAUUCAAAUUAGUUUGAAUUUCAACUUAAAACCUUAUCUAUAUCCUUCCACACAUUGAUAGUUUCUGAAGGUACCCAUUGUGUAUGAGAAAAAGAAGUCUUUCUAAUUAAUUUUUAUAUCUAAUUUUCUUUUAUAAGUCUCUCUUUAAAUUAGAUAAAGAUGAGAAAAAGUUAGAGUUAAAUUAAAAUUUAAAAUGAUUUGAAUUACAACAAACUCUAGCCCUUAUCCUAUCUUAUCUGAUUUAUGCGACAAUCAUAAAAAGGUCAUAAUUUUGUAUGCCAAAAGAAGAGAGCUUUUCACUGUGAGAUACUAGAGAGAAAGAGGGUUGAAAAUUCUUCUUUGGGAUAUGAGGUUUGGAUGGGUUUUCUUCUUUCUUGGUGUGACCAAAAGAGGAGACCGAUCUCCUCUCGGGUGAGCGACCUAGAACUAUUCUAGGGUUCUUGGAUGAGAGAAAAACAAAAGAGAAGAGAGUCUUCAUCUAUUUUUCUCCAUCAUUCAGCAUCCUCCUCUAAUCCAUCUUUAACAUUGAAAAGGUUUGAGAUGAUCGAAGAAGGAGAUCAAGUCAGAUCUACCAUCAGAAGCCGACUGCGCGAGCUAGCACUUCCAUGGAGGGCUGAUCGGUCCGAGGGCUUCG